Molecule: long non-coding RNA, 638 nt
Organism: Sycon ciliatum
Lineage: Eukaryota; Metazoa; Porifera; Calcarea; Leucosolenida; Sycettidae
Exons: 2
Source: RefSeq, a predicted model, not a curated record
UAUUCACGAAAUGUACUCAAAUUUGAAUUGAGUCAAUGCGAAUGACACCCUGUUUUCGGAAUAAUUCUCCACUAAACACACCAUGCCCAUGGCCCCUUCAUGUUGUCCAAGUUCCAUUCUAGGUUUGUGUGAAGUUUCGAGAUGAAGUUCGACGAUGUACUCACCUUUCCAUGGAAGGGAAAAAAAGUAGCAUAUCAAACAGAAUCCAUGCAGUAUUUGAUGCCACUAUCCUCAUUCUUCUGCAUUCAAAGUGUUUCACAUCUAUAUGGCCCAUGAACUGCAAACAAUAUUUGUCAUUUCUUAACUGUUCAUAGCUGUUCAUAACUGUUCUGAACACAUUGCCUUCAGGAAACGUAAGGCCGAGUCGCCUCACCGACUGAGCAAAGUUCUCUGCGACGAAAGUCACACUAUCGGCGAAUGCACUCAAGAGCUUCCGAGCCACGCCGAGUCACCUGACCAACUGAAGAAGGUUCUGUGCGACGAAAGUCACACUAUCGGCUAAUGCACUCAAGGUGAAUACCCUGUGGACUGCUUAUACCACUUAUCACAGAAGCACACACACACACACACACACACACACACACACACACACACACACACACACACACACACACACACACACACACACAAGCACAAAA